This is a non-coding RNA of Pseudoliparis swirei, 71 nucleotides long. The record is from the annotation of a RefSeq genome assembly. NCBI's taxonomy places the organism in Eukaryota, Metazoa, Chordata, Actinopteri, Perciformes, Liparidae.
GGCGUGGUGGCCAAGUGGUAAGUCGUUGGUCUCAGAAACAAAGAUCAUGGGUUCAAUUCCCAUCCAUGCCU